Molecule: ribosomal RNA, 413 nt
Filed under: Cinnamomum cinnamomifolium
Lineage: Eukaryota; Viridiplantae; Streptophyta; Magnoliopsida; Laurales; Lauraceae
Description: eukaryotic LSU rRNA
Rfam family: 5.8S ribosomal RNA (bases 3-130)
Source: RNAcentral
UGGCAUBGAUGAAAAACGUAKCGAAAUGCGAUACUUGGUGUGAAUUGCAGAAUCCCGUGAACCAUCGAGUCUUUGAACGCAAGUUGCGCCCGAGGCCCACUCGGCCGAGGGCACGCCUGCCUGGGCGUCACGCCACCCAUCGCGCCCCCCUCGGCAUCCCGAUGCCCCGCCGGGGAGCGGAGACUGGCCGUCCGUGCCCGAGCCCUCGGCGCGCGGUCGGCAGAAAAAGGAGGACACCGUGCGGCGCGGAACGGCGUGUGGGGGCUGAGAGGCGACUCGUCGCCGAUCGUACGUCGCGCCCGCAUUCCGCCGCGCGGUGCCGCCCCGUGGGACCGGACUCGCCCGCAUCCGCGGGCGCUCGGACCGCGACCCCAGGUCAGGCGUGGCCACCCGCUGAAUUUAAGCAUAUCAAU